This is a long non-coding RNA of Brassica rapa (field mustard), 4126 nucleotides long. RefSeq lists it as uncharacterized. The record is from RefSeq and is a predicted model, not a curated record. Lineage: Eukaryota; Viridiplantae; Streptophyta; Magnoliopsida; Brassicales; Brassicaceae.
AGACCACGAAGAAGAUCAUCUUGAGGCUUCAGUGCCAAAACUGCAAGCACUCUCUCAACACUCGAUCAAGGUGACAUCGGCCUUGGGCUCAUCACUGUUCAAGCGAUGCAAGAAGAAAACACUGAAAAGCAGAGCACUAAAUAAAAAAUGAGACAACAUGUCUGGCCAAGAGUCAUAGUACUCAAACGAACUGUAAGACAUCAGAGACGAAGAACCCUGAGGUGCAACUUCCAUCCCCAUACUGAAACGUGUAAGCGCAAAUGUUGUUCUGAGUAGAACAGCCUGAAUUAGAGGACUGAACACCCCAGCUGCAUCUUUGGUCAGAACAUGAGAUUGGUGUCGUUGUUACUGAGCUCCCUGGAUCAGAGUAAGUCAUAGCAACAGAUUAAUCUCAAAUCAGAGGAUUUUAAAAUAAAAAAGACAUGAAAAUCACAAAACAUCACAGUGAAUCACAUUAACUCAAAUCAGAGAAUUUACUUGAGGAGUUUACUGGUUUGAGGGCAGCCAUUGCAAAAAGCACAACUAACCCACAAAACAUCACCUCAUGUGUCAAUCUGUACGUAAAAGGCUCUUGGGGGAGAUCACAGCCGCAAUUUCGUGUAGUAUGAUCUGUUUAAAAUACGAACACCAAACUGAGCAGAAGACAACAAAACCAGAGAAACAACUAUUUGAUUGAGACAUGAGAAAAGCAGACAAUAACUCAAACACCUUAUAGGCAAUUAAAAUCAUGUAUUGAGAAGAUAAAGAUGGAAACUUUAGUUACCCAACAACUAAAGGAUCAAAAGUUCCCUUGACAGGAUAUUUAAUAAUCUGCCGUGUGACUGUAACAAUAUGUCGUAUCUAGCUUGAUCAUGCAACUUGAGUUGAAUGAUUUCCAUCUCGUGACUAAAGGGAAUAGCUUUUUCCAGUUUCAGCGCUGCCUGAACUCUCAUCCUCAUCUCAACUCCAUCUCCUGAAAAAUAAUCUUUGCCAUAGCUUUUUUCCAGUGGCAGCUAAGAUCUUCCACCUCCAUCUGGUUUGUAUUGAGCCAAGAGUAUAUAAGACAAAAGCAUAAGCAAUCCAUAGUGUUUAUCAACAAAUCUUAUGGAGAAGAAAGAGAAAAACAAAAAGACAAACAAAAUCUAGAGUUUGAUAAACAUAACAGCCGUGGAAGAACAACAUUUGCUUUCAAAUCAGAGUGGAAGACAAAUGAUGCAGCCAUUAUAGAAAAAAUAAGAAAUCUCUCGAUAAUAGGAGAUGAAAAGAUGAUGUUCAAGGGAUGAAUAAUUACCUUUUUAUAGGAGAGAAUCACAGACUGGAAACUGAAUAAGAUUCAUUGAAUUCUUGAUCGUGGUCCUAGUGGCGAGGAAGAGUUAAGUUUGUGUUAAUUAUGCCAAUCUCUGCAACUUGUAACGGUUCGGAGGUAAGACAAAACGAUCAGAACAUAAAUGGACUUUGAGAUUAUUGACAAAAUGUAUACGAAAAUCUCAGAACUGCAAUUGUUAACAUACAGAAUGGAAGAUUCCUAAAGCUGGUGAACCCUAAAUUUCAGACUGAGAAGAAGAUGCAAGUGUCAUGGGCCAGCCCAUGAACAUAACACAAAACAAUAGCGAAGCCCGUAACAAUUAAAUGAGGAAACCGUACGUUUUGGUCAAGUGGACACGUGGCCGGCUAGGAAGAGAUGAAUUAGUGAUGUGGAGGCACAGGAGAGAGGCAAACAAUACUUUAUAUAUAUAGAUUAGUAUAUUAUUUAUAAUUAGCUUAUUUCUGAAUAAUAUAGGUAUAUUAUAUUUAUAAUAUAUUUUUUAUUUGUUUAUUGGUAAUAAUGAAUUAUAUUUUAAAUGUGAAAUGAUUUUACUGAAAAAUAAAUUUAAAUUUACUUUUUUUAUAAAAAAUUAAAAUUUAUUUCAAAAUUUAUUUCUUUAAAUUCAAAUUUUUUUUAAAAGUUCAAAAUUUAUUUUUAAAAAUUGUUUUUAUUUUAAUUUUUUUAACUAAUUUUUAAAACAAAAUAGUUUGAUUUUUUUUAAAAAAAAUUAAGUUAUACGAAAAUUUUUGGAUAUAAAUAUUAUUUGUAAUACUAUUUUUAAAAAAAUUGAAAUUAUUUUUAAAAAUUAUAUAGUUUUUGGAUAUACAUAUUAAGGUAAUCCUCCAUAAUAGUCUCUUUUGAGUUUUUAUCUCAAAAAUAGCACUAGAAACUAAAAAUCACAAAAUAACAUUCAUUAAUACACUAAAUGACCUUAUUAUCCUUGCUUUAUAUUAAAUAAAAUAAUAAAUUAGUAAAUCUCUCCGAUCUUUCUCUCACGACUCAAAAUCUCUAUGAUCUCUCUCACGACGGGCCGCCGACGAAAUUUCACCAACUCCGGCGACGAUGAACACUGUCGUCAUCUCCGACGAGCACGAAGCUUUGAUUCUCCAAUGCCAUCUCGAACAAAAUCAUAAUUACAAAGAAGGAAUCUCAGGAAGCUUCAUUUACAGAGCUUUAUCCUCGUGAUUUUCGUUAUGGGUCUUGCGCUUAUCUCACGACCUCUCUUGCCAUCAUUACUGCUGCUCUUACUGCCUUAAGCUUAGCUUUCCAAAGAGACAGGUUAUUUUGAUUUCUCCUUUAAUUUCUACUUUUAUAUCCCUUUUUACAUAUUUAUUUGUUGUUUGUUUGCAUCUAUUGAAUGUGUUUAGAAAAUGUGUGUGACGAUGUUUUAGUUCUCUUGUUCCUCUAAAAGUUAUAGCUUUUUCUAGUUCACAACAUACAUAAAAGUUAAAACUUUUCAUGUUUUCUUUAUUCGCAACUGUAAUGUGCCUAAGAUGACUGUUUAGUACUGCGUUUUUGUUGUCCAGCGAGGGAAAGGUCCUUGGAAGUUGUUGGAGCUCAAAUCAAAGGCUGCUGAAUUGUGAGAACACAAGGUUUUGAGGAUAGAAACAAGAUGAGAGAUUCAGUACCUCUCAAACUAGCACUGCUUGGACUAAAGAUGCGACAGAGCCUUUGACUGUGAUCAUUUCGCCAAACAAUAAAAAGAUGGAAACAAAGGCAACAAAUGAGACACCUACCUUUCUAAUAGCUUAAUCGAGUACUGAGAAUCCAGUUUUUACUCCAAAUCAGACGCAGUAGCAACAAAUGAGACACUUGCCCCUCCAAUAGCUCAACCGAGUACUGAGACUCUAGUUUUUACUCCAAAUCAUUGCAGCAGAUGGGAACAGAGGCAACGAAUGAGACACAUGCCUCUCCAAUAGCUCAACCGAGUAAUGAGACUCUAGUUUUUACUCCAAAUCAGACGCAAUGGAAUGAGGCAGAGCCAUCAUAUGAGACGCCAUCCAAGCCGAAUCAAGCAGAAGAAAAUCUUGACGAUGAGAGCCUUUGACUGAGAUCAUUUCAGGAAAUAAUGAAAAGGAAAAUACACAAGCUUUGGAUAACACACCUGCCCCUACAAUGUCUACACCAAUUCUUGAUCAAAAUCAGAAUGCUGAUGCUGAGAUACAGACUGAAACUCAAAUUCUUCCACCUAAUGUGACACAACAAGCUGAGACAAAGACUGGGACCCAUUUUUUUUCCGUAAGAGAGAGAGAGAGCCAUCAGAUGAGAUGCCAUUCCAACCGAAUCAAGCAGAAGAAAAUCUUGACGAUGAAGAUAUUAUAGAGCCUAUAGCAUUAUGAACAUGUUUUUUGUAGGAUGCUACAAAGCCUUUGACUGUGAUUAUUUCGCCAAACAAUAAAAAGAUGGAAACAGAGGCAACGAAUGAGACACCUGCCUCUCCAAUAGCUCAACCGAGUACUAAGACUCCAGUUUUUACUCCAAAUCAGACGCAGCAGGUACAUGCUCAAAAUCUUAGAAUUUUCAAGUAAUUUUUGGAUGCUUUUGUAUGAUCCCCUUCCUAAUUUUUUUUGGGAGAUAGGAACAGAAGCAACGUUUAAACGAUGUAUAAAACUACUUCAGUUAGUGUAGAAACAUCAAUGAAGUUUUAAGAGUAUCAGAAGUUUCAGCUGUCUUGAAGCAUUUUUAGGAAUUUUAUUAAGAAAAUCUUAAUGUGAUACUAUUAUAAGGCAUAUAUGUUAUCUAAGAUAUCCAUCAAAAUAUUUUAAAGAUAAAGUAUUGAUCUCACAUGUGUUCCAUAGUGUAAAGAUGAUCACAAAGGAAAAUGAUUACUUUCUUGGAGUU